Molecule: long non-coding RNA, 253 nt
Organism: Dama dama (fallow deer)
Lineage: Eukaryota; Metazoa; Chordata; Mammalia; Artiodactyla; Cervidae
Exons: 3
Source: RefSeq, a predicted model, not a curated record
AGUGGUGUGGAGAGUGGCACACAUUAAAGUCUGCUGUCGGGAUUUUGAGACAAAAGAUAGACUGCUCAGAGAUAAAGAAGAGACCAAAAGCUCCAUCAACAGAGUGCUGAGAAACAAAGGGUUAGGGAUGCAUCAGUGAAUUAAACAGUCAAAAAUCCCUGGCCUCUACAAGCUGGUAGUCUAGAAGAGAGAGAAAGUCAACAAGUUCAGUAUGUAUUAUGUUACAUGGAGAUACACCAUGGAGAAAAGUCAA